RNAcentral lists this ribosomal RNA (654 nucleotides) under Clostridioides difficile. Its description in RNAcentral is "bacterial LSU rRNA". It matches the Rfam family "Bacterial large subunit ribosomal RNA", at positions 1 to 658 of the family's 2925-position model. Lineage: Bacteria; Bacillati; Bacillota; Clostridia; Peptostreptococcales; Peptostreptococcaceae. The record is from RNAcentral.
UGGUCAAGUUAUUAAGGGUGCAGGGCGGAUGCCUUGGCACUAGGAGCCGAUGAAGGACGUGAUAAGCUGCGAUAAGCUUCGGGGAGUUGCACGUAAACUUUGAUCCGAAGAUUUCCGAAUGAGGAAACUCACUUAGAGUAAUGUCUAAGUAUCAUUAAGUGAAUACAUAGCUUAAUGAGGGGAACUCAGGGAACUGAAACAUCUAAGUACCUGAAGGAAGAGAAAGAAAUUCGAUUCCGUAAGUAGCGGCGAGCGAACGCGGAUUAGCCCAAACCAAUAAAGUUUUCUUUAUUGGGGUUGCGGACAUAUCAUAACGAAGAGGUAUCGUAAUUGAAGAGGUUUGGAAAGACCCACCACAGAAGGUAAUAGUCCUGUAUGUUAAACGAGAAGACUUCAGAUAUGAUCCAGAGUACCACGGGACACGUGAAACCCUGUGGGAAGCAGGAGGGACCACCCUCCAAGGCUAAAUACUACCUAGUGACCGAUAGCGUAUAGUACCGUGAGGGAAAGGUGAAAAGAACCCCGGGAGGGGAGUGAAAUAGAACCUGAAACCCUGCACUUACAAGCUGUGGAAGCACAUUUCUUGUGUGACCGCGUACUUUUUGUAGAACGGGCCAACGAGUUACGUUAAGUAGCAAGGUUAAGCACUUAAGG